Stomoxys calcitrans (stable fly) is the source of this 484-nucleotide long non-coding RNA. RefSeq lists it as uncharacterized. NCBI's taxonomy places the organism in Eukaryota, Metazoa, Arthropoda, Insecta, Diptera, Muscidae. The transcript is spliced from 2 exons. The record is from RefSeq and is a predicted model, not a curated record.
CCCCCGAACAAAUAGGUAUGACACACGAAAAUGCUACGCCAAGAAAUAAAUCAAGUGUUUGUGUUGGUGAUUCACACGCGAAUAAUGAACUUAGCAGAUGACACGAGAAUACAUAAGUGUGUUUUUAGAAAAAGUAUUCCAACCUCAGAGAACUCGCAGAGCUUUUUUCAUUACGUCAGUACAGUUCGCCUUUAAAAACCUGUUCGGCAUGUAGAUGAAGCAAAUGUGUGUGGUGAAAUGAACCAAAGAAACGAGUCGUUUUCAAUUGGAAAGCUUUUGUAUUUUUGAUAGCUACAAAUGCAACACUGCUUAUUUGAGAUCGGUGAAAUUCGAUUAACCGAUUACUGUUAGUUAACCACUCAUGAAUACUUCAUCUUUCACGUUAUUAAGACGGUUAAUCAUACCGUCUAAUGCGAAUUUCAGGCCGAGUAGGCUUAGUAUUACCUAAUUUGUUACAAAUAAAUAAAUAAAACAAAUUUUUAUA